UUGAGCUUCAACCAACACAAACAACCGCGAACCUUACCAGGUUUGAGCUCUUGACAAAAGGGGACAUGUUGAUAUGGCGACUAAAACAGACUACAUUGUUUGACUAAAGGGACCGCAAGCAACUUACGAUGAUCUUAUCAAGUGUGAUCAAUGAUACAGGAUAAUUUUAACCUUCAUAGUGUAAAGGUGAAAGAUGUCGCAGCUCUGGAGAGCAGUUGCCUAUGUUUUAAAGUUUGCAUUGGUGAUAUGUUCCACUGUGCUUAUCCUUGGUGGUGUCUUCUCAAUGGGCCUUAAUGAGAUUUAUGUCUGGUACAUGAUGCAUCCAAGGAGUUUCAUUGCUGCUGUUUUCACUUACAUCUCUAUAACUCUACUUUUCAUCAUCACACUCUAUAGUGCUUUUACAAGCUCUGGAGAGACAGUCAAGGAACACUUUCAACCACAGAGCCACUUACACGACUGUGACUUUGAUGAGCACACUGAACAUGAAAUUGCUACAUUAGCAAAGGCAGUGAAAAACAUUGAAGCAAAACUUGAAUCAAGUAGAGAAAAUGCAGAAAAUAUGUCAUUUUCAAGAAACGCUUUGCGUAUCAGUCAGCUUGGCAACCUUUUUGAACUGAAGGAGAAAAACUCUAUAACUACUGAGGAAUAUGAAAGAUUAAAGAAAUUAAUGAUUGAAGAUAUUGCAGAAAACCUAAAACUAGUGACAGAUAGCUUAGUUUAUAAGUCAAAAAGGGCCAUAAUAGAACAGCUGAAAUAGUGUAUAUUUAAUAAAAUAAUUAGUUUUUAACUGUUCUGCAGAGAACCUUUUCAGUUCUAAUGAUCACCUAGAUAUCAAACUGACAAGUACAUAACAGUGGAAUGGUUAUCAUUCUGCUUUGAACAUUCUGAUAAUAGUGUUAACGAUUCAAGUGAUUCUUUUAUAAAAUUUCUAUUGCAUCAAUUUAUUAACAAUGUCUCCAAAAAGUGAAAAAUUUUGACCCUUUCAUCCAGCAAAAUGAUGCCCAAGUUAUGUUAGCAACCUUGGCACCCUCUCAUGUUAAGGUGAAAAGUUGUCUAUUAUAAUAUCUUCCCAAUAUUCCCAUUGCCAUUCAAUAUUUAAUAAGGAUUUCUAUACCAAAAGUCAUUCAACCCAUUUUGUGCAGGCUGUAAUGCCUGCUAAAUUCAUGGUAAAUAUGUCGAUUUCUUAAUAUUAGAUAAUUGUUUAACAAAAGAUAACUUUGCCCUCUGUAUAUUUGAAGGAAGCCAGCUAAUGUCAUUUAAAAAAGUAAUCUAAACAGGGUAUUUUGUAGAUUUUUAUAGCAUGAUGAUUUCAAGUAAAUAAAUAUCAACAAAGUUUGUGUUUUUCCUCUCAUUUGGCUUUUUGCCUUUUGAAGAUUUGAACCAAAUGCUUCAACUUACAUCCAUUCAAGAUUGCAACAACAAAAUUGAGGAAAACAAAAAGCAUCAAACGCACUAAAUGCCUAAAUCAGCAUUUUGCAAACAUUUGCCUAACUUUAUAACUAUAUAAAUAAAGUAUAUAUAACUAACUGCUUGCGAACUCUUAUAAUUGAAUAGAAGGCACUCAAUGUUUUGAAAUCAAGAGCAACAACUCUGGUACUUUAAAGCCCAUGUUUCAUCAGAUUUGAAAUUUGUUGUCUGGAGAUAAUAGGUUUUAAAAUAUUUUGAGAUAUUGCAGUCAGAGACCCUUAAUAUGUUUUUGGAAUAUUUUAUUAUGUGUGUUUUAUUGCAUAUAUUGCAGGGCCCCUUUCAACAUACUAACUAGGAGGGGGGCUAUUGCCCCUCCAGCCCCAGUUGAUUUUCCAUUGUUUUAAACAUUAGGUUAUUGUCCUCCCAUUUAUAUAAACAAAGGCUUGCCACUGCAACUAUUUUCCUUCAAACAGGCUAUGAUGCAUUGAACCAUAAUUUGAUACAAUAAAUCAAUGAUUUCAUAAGUCUCAUAAUUAUGGGAACGUGCCUUUUCGGAAGCAGCUAUCAAAAGGUAAAAGCAUAUGUGAUGUGAUCUGUUUUUAAGGGUAAACUUCUGCACUAAACUCCCAAUAGUUCAACUUAAAACUUUUUUCAGCAUUAGGUGUUAUAAAACCGAAUGCUACUUAUGUUUUGAAAUCUGCACAUUUAUGAAUCCAAAAAGCACGAGCUAUGAAAUAUUGAUGUCUGUCUUAUCCCCCGCAGAAGGGGGGCGUUAAUAACAUGCAAAACAAGAUGUUGAAAGAUCAUUCUCGAUCCAGACCCCAAAACGCGUAUUCAAGUGUAAAUUGUAUGGACGAAAACAUGGCGUAGUAACGGUGUUUUGUUGCUUGAAAUGGUGUCUAGAAAUCGUAAGUUUGUCAAAGAAAAGUAGUAGGUUUUAAGUGAUGGUCUACAAAUUUAGUUAUUAGCGAAUUAUAUAUACUAUUGACAAAUGGG
Molecule: non-coding RNA, 2403 nt
Organism: Rhopilema esculentum
Lineage: Eukaryota; Metazoa; Cnidaria; Scyphozoa; Rhizostomeae; Rhizostomatidae
Source: RefSeq, a predicted model, not a curated record